This 357-nucleotide ribosomal RNA is filed under the name uncultured soil bacterium. Its description in RNAcentral is "bacterial SSU rRNA". It matches the Rfam family "Bacterial small subunit ribosomal RNA", at positions 26 to 383 of the family's 1533-position model. The record is from RNAcentral.
AGAUUGAACGCUGGCGGCAGGCCUAACACAUGCAAGUCGAGCGGUAGAGAGGUGCUUGCAUCUCUUGAGAGCGGCGGACGGGUGAGUAAUGCCUAGGAAUCUGCCUAGUGGUGGGGGAUAACGUUCGGAAACGGACGCUAAUACCGCAUACGUCCUACGGGAGAAAGCGGGGGACCUUCGGGCCUCGCGCCAUUAGAUGAGCCUAGGUCGGAUUAGCUAGUUGGUGAGGUAAUGGCUCACCAAGGCGACGAUCCGUAACUGGUCUGAGAGGAUGAUCAGUCACACUGGAACUGAGACACGGUCCAGACUCCUACGGGAGCAGCAGGUGGGGAAUAUUGGACAAGUGGGACGAAAGCC